GUCACGAUUGGGGGUCAACUGUCGCCAUUUUGGGGUCAAAGGGCACCGAUAUGUGGUCAAAGGUCACGAAUGGGGGUCAAAGGUCCCAUAUACGGGCUAAGAGGACACAGAUUUGGGGUCAAAGGUCAUAUUUUGGAAUCAAAGGUCGCCAUUUUGGGGUCAAAGGGUACAUAUAUGGGGUCAAAGGUCGCAUAUUUGGGGUCAAAGGUCACAUUUGGGAAUCAAAGGGCACCGAUAUGGGGUCAAAGGUCACAUAUAUGGGCUCAGGUGACACAGAUUUGGGGUCAAAGGUCACUUUUGGGGGUCAAAGGUCACGAUUGGGGGUCAACGGUCGCCAUUUUGGGGUCAAAGGUCACGAAUGGGGGUCAAAGGUCACAUAUAUAGGCUCAGGGGACACAGAUUUGGGGUCAAAGGUCGCAUAUUUGGGGUCAAAGGUCACAUAUAUGGGCUCAGGGGACACAGAUUUGGGGUCAAAGGUCAUAUUUUGGGGUCAAAGGUCACACUUUGGGGUCAAAGGUCACAUAUAUGGGGUCAGAGGUGGACAUGUGGGGUCAAAGGUCGCAUAUUUGGGGUCAAAGGUCACACAUAUGAGCUCAGGGGACACAUUUGAGGUCAAAGGUCGCCAUUUUGGGGUCAAAGGGUACAUAUUUGGGGUCAAAGGUCGCAUAUUUGGGGUCAAAGGUCACAUUUGGGGGUCAAAGGGCACCGAUAUGGGGUCAAAGGUCACAUUUGGGG
Long non-coding RNA from Gallus gallus (chicken), 735 nucleotides. The record is from Ensembl. NCBI's taxonomy places the organism in Eukaryota, Metazoa, Chordata, Aves, Galliformes, Phasianidae.